AAAUUGAAGAGUUUGAUCAUGGCUCAGAUUGAACGCUGGCGGCAGGCCUAACACAUGCAAGUCGAGCGGUAGCACAGAGAGCUUGCUCUCGGGUGACGAGCGGCGGACGGGUGAGUAAUGUCUGGGAAACUGCCUGAUGGAGGGGGAUAACUACUGGAAACGGUAGCUAAUACCGCAUAAUGUCGCAAGACCAAAGUGGGGGACCUUCGGGCCUCAUGCCAUCAGAUGUGCCCAGAUGGGAUUAGCUAGUAGGUGGGGUAAUGGCUCACCUAGGCGACGAUCCCUAGCUGGUCUGAGAGGAUGACCAGCCACACUGGAACUGAGACACGGUCCAGACUCCUACGGGAGGCAGCAGUGGGGAAUAUUGCACAAUGGGCGCAAGCCUGAUGCAGCCAUGCCGCGUGUAUGAAGAAGGCCUUCGGGUUGUAAAGUACUUUCAGCGAGGAGGAAGGCGUUAAGGUUAAUAACCUUAGCGAUUGACGUUACUCGCAGAAGAAGCACCGGCUAACUCCGUGCCAGCAGCCGCGGUAAUACGGAGGGUGCAAGCGUUAAUCGGAAUUACUGGGCGUAAAGCGCACGCAGGCGGUCUGUUAAGUCAGAUGUGAAAUCCCCGGGCUCAACCUGGGAACUGCAUUUGAAACUGGCAGGCUUGAGUCUUGUAGAGGGGGGUAGAAUUCCAGGUGUAGCGGUGAAAUGCGUAGAGAUCUGGAGGAAUACCGGUGGCGAAGGCGGCCCCCUGGACAAAGACUGACGCUCAGGUGCGAAAGCGUGGGGAGCAAACAGGAUUAGAUACCCUGGUAGUCCACGCUGUAAACGAUGUCGACUUGGAGGUUGUUCCCUUGAGGAGUGGCUUCCGGAGCUAACGCGUUAAGUCGACCGCCUGGGGAGUACGGCCGCAAGGUUAAAACUCAAAUGAAUUGACGGGGGCCCGCACAAGCGGUGGAGCAUGUGGUUUAAUUCGAUGCAACGCGAAGAACCUUACCUACUCUUGACAUCCAGAGAACUUAGCAGAGAUGCUUUGGUGCCUUCGGGAACUCUGAGACAGGUGCUGCAUGGCUGUCGUCAGCUCGUGUUGUGAAAUGUUGGGUUAAGUCCCGCAACGAGCGCAACCCUUAUCCUUUGUUGCCAGCGGUUCGGCCGGGAACUCAAAGGAGACUGCCAGUGAUAAACUGGAGGAAGGUGGGGAUGACGUCAAGUCAUCAUGGCCCUUACGAGUAGGGCUACACACGUGCUACAAUGGCAUAUACAAAGAGAAGCGACCUCGCGAGAGCAAGCGGACCUCAUAAAGUAUGUCGUAGUCCGGAUUGGAGUCUGCAACUCGACUCCAUGAAGUCGGAAUCGCUAGUAAUCGUAGAUCAGAAUGCUACGGUGAAUACGUUCCCGGGCCUUGUACACACCGCCCGUCACACCAUGGGAGUGGGUUGCAAAAGAAGUAGGUAGCUUAACCUUCGGGAGGGCGCUUACCACUUUGUGAUUCAUGACUGGGGUGAAGUCGUAACAAGGUAACCGUAGGGGAACCUGCGGUUGGAUCACCUCCUUA
Molecule: ribosomal RNA, 1540 nt
Filed under: Klebsiella ornithinolytica
Lineage: Bacteria; Pseudomonadati; Pseudomonadota; Gammaproteobacteria; Enterobacterales; Enterobacteriaceae
Also listed under: 1 other name
Description: bacterial SSU rRNA
Rfam family: Bacterial small subunit ribosomal RNA
Source: RNAcentral